GUAAUAUGUUAUCCUCAAAAAAAUGAACAAGAACAAAUAAAAACAAUUGAUAAUAAUACAACAUUAUUACCAAUUAUUUAUUGUACGAAAGAAGAUAAAAAUAAUAAUUCGAAUGAAGUAUGUACAGGUAAUACUGUUGAAAAAGUUGAAUUUAAUAAAAUUGAUAAAAAAACUGAAGAGAAUAUAAAAGAGUUGGAUGAAUCAACAAAAUAUGGUAGUAAACAGAUGAUAACUAUGAUAUUGAUUAUAAUGAUAAUAAUAGUAUUAGUCGCUUUUGUAGUAACAAUAAUAAUAAUAAUAAUAAUAGUACUAUUAAGAAUGACACCAAUGAAAAAACAUAUUGUAACUAUAUGGAGGAACAAUAUGGCGUUGAAUCAAAUGAUUAUGAAAACUAUAACAUGGGUGUUAACAAUUAUAACAAAGAAACAGGUAAAAAAAAAAGUAAAAACAGUAUGAAUAACAGUUGUAAUAAUAAUAUUAAUGAAGAAAAAAGUCAGAACUGUUGUGAAAAUUUAAAUAAUAAAAAUAGUAUUAACAAUAGCGAAACAUUUUUAAAAAGUGUAGAAAAUCAAUAUCAUUAUAUAGAUCACAACAAUUAUAAUUACAGUAAUAAUCUUAUGUUGCAUAACAAAUUAAUGCAAAUGAAACAACAUGCUAUGAAUCCAUACAUGAAUUAUAAACAAACUGAUAAUACAUGGGGUAAAACAGCAGUUCCAAUGUUUACUCAUAAUCAUUAUAAUCAAUACAUCAACCCAAACGAAUAUACAAUAUAUAAUAAUAUAAAAAAUGUGCCAUUCAUUCCUCCAUUUAGUUAUUAUCCAAAUCAUUUAUAUUAUUAUGCAAACAGUUAUAAUUACCAUCCUUAUACUACAGUAGUUGAUAACGUGAACAAUGGAGUUGUACCUUUUUCAGAGUAUAACAAUGAUAAUUACAGCAAUUUAAAUAAAAAUGUUUCGAACGGUAGUCAUGCAGAAGUACAAAACGUAAACGAAAGUGAUACAACGGAAGAAGUAGAAAAGGGAGAAGGAGAAGUAAUAACAGGCGAAGUAGAAGGAGAAGGAGAACAAAAAGCAGAAACAAGAGAAGUAAAAGUAGAAGGAAAAGUAGAAACAGGCGAAGAAAAAGU
RNAcentral lists this long non-coding RNA (1126 nucleotides) under Piliocolobus tephrosceles (Ugandan red Colobus). RNAcentral's name for it is "lncRNA (ENSPTEG00000018940.1)". Lineage: Eukaryota; Metazoa; Chordata; Mammalia; Primates; Cercopithecidae. The record is from RNAcentral.